RNAcentral lists this ribosomal RNA (215 nucleotides) under Salmonella enterica subsp. enterica. RNAcentral describes it as "partial 16S ribosomal RNA". It matches the Rfam family "Bacterial small subunit ribosomal RNA", at positions 1 to 209 of the family's 1533-position model. The record is from RNAcentral. Lineage: Bacteria; Pseudomonadati; Pseudomonadota; Gammaproteobacteria; Enterobacterales; Enterobacteriaceae.
UUAAAUUGAAGAGUUUGAUCAUGGCUCAGAUUGAACGCUGGCGGCAGGCCUAACACAUGCAAGUCGAACGGUAACAGGAAGCAGCUUGCUGCUUCGCUGACGAGUGGCGGACGGGUGAGUAAUGUCUGGGAAACUGCCUGAUGGAGGGGGAUAACUACUGGAAACGGUGGCUAAUACCGCAUAACGUCGCAAGACCAAAGAGGGGGACCUUCGGG